RNAcentral lists this ribosomal RNA (618 nucleotides) under Amanita pallidorosea. RNAcentral describes it as "eukaryotic LSU rRNA". The stretch from base 225 to 378 matches the Rfam family "5.8S ribosomal RNA". Lineage: Eukaryota; Fungi; Basidiomycota; Agaricomycetes; Agaricales; Amanitaceae. The record is from RNAcentral.
UGCGGAAGGAUCAUUACUGAAAUGAACCUUGAGGCUGUCGCUGGCCCAUCUGGGCAUGUGCACGUCUCUGGUCAUUACCAAUUCCACCUGUGCACACUUGUAGACACUUGGGAAUGAGAGACUUUGACCAGUCUCUUGAGAGAAUUGAAAUCUGGGUGUCUAUGCCAUUUUACCAAACACUAGUUGCAUGUUCAUAGAAUGAUUAUUUGAUUGAAUAUAAAUACAACUUUCAACAACGGAUCUCUUGGCUCUCGCAUCGAUGAAGAACGCAGCGAAAUGCGAUAAGUAAUGUGAAUUGCAGAAUUCAGUGAAUCAUCGAAUCUUUGAACGCACCUUGCGCUCCUUGGCAUUCCGAGGAGCAUGCCUGUUUGAGUGUCAUUAACACCUCAAGACCUGUCUGCUUUUGAUAGGUAUUGGAUUUUGGGAGUUGCAGGCUGUUUCAGAUAUAGCUUGCUCUCCUUGAAUGUAUUAGUGGAGAAAAGCUGUUGAACUCCAUUGGUGUGAUAAAAUCUAUCAAUGCCAGGAGCAACAUCAAGUGGUCUCUGCUGUCUAACCCUAACUGUCUGACUCACUUGACCUCAAAUCAGGUAGGACUACCCGCUGAACUUAAGCAUAUCA